CACAUGCAAGUCGAGCGGAUGACGGGAGCUUGCUCCUUGAUUCAGCGGCGGACGGGUGAGUAAUGCCUAGGAAUCUGCCUGGUAGUGGGGGACAACGUUUCGAAAGGAACGCUAAUACCGCAUACGUCCUACGGGAGAAAGCAGGGGACCUUCGGGCCUUGCGCUAUCAGAUGAGCCUAGGUCGGAUUAGCUAGUAGGUGAGGUAAUGGCUCACCUAGGCGACGAUCCGUAACUGGUCUGAGAGGAUGAUCAGUCACACUGGAACUGAGACACGGUCCAGACUCCUACGGGAGGCAGCAGUGGGGAAUAUUGGACAAUGGGCGAAAGCCUGAUCCAGCCAUGCCGCGUGUGUGAAGAAGGUCUUCGGAUUGUAAAGC
RNAcentral lists this ribosomal RNA (377 nucleotides) under Pseudomonas sp. RNAcentral describes it as "bacterial SSU rRNA". It matches the Rfam family "Bacterial small subunit ribosomal RNA", at positions 52 to 431 of the family's 1533-position model. Lineage: Bacteria; Pseudomonadati; Pseudomonadota; Gammaproteobacteria; Pseudomonadales; Pseudomonadaceae. The record is from RNAcentral.